AUCCAACACAACAAGUCAGGUCGGCCAAAAUGAAGGCCGACAGUUCCUCGGAUGGACGACGGCACGGAACACACGGAACAGACUCGAGUCACUGACCUCGCCAGACUGUCUGACGGCCGAUUAUUGGGUUAGUGUGUCACUGCCUUCAGUAAUCGGAGCAACGAAAAGAAAUG
Long non-coding RNA from Sander lucioperca (pikeperch), 173 nucleotides. RefSeq lists it as uncharacterized. NCBI's taxonomy places the organism in Eukaryota, Metazoa, Chordata, Actinopteri, Perciformes, Percidae. The transcript has 3 exons. The record is from RefSeq and is a predicted model, not a curated record.